GCCAACCUACAUAACCAGAUGGGAAAAUCUGAUCGCCAUAAGAAGCCACGGCGAAGAGAAAUAGCCUAUCUCGCAAGAUGAUGUGCAGCUGCAUUUGAUUCUCUAAAAGCAUGCUGGAAACAAAUUUCGUGAAAAUCCCUAGCAAGGGUUUUGAUACCUUCAAUCCAACUUGCAGCUUCUCCCUUCCAUGGUGAUUUGUCCCCAAUUAAAUUUAGGGCUUCAAGUGAAUUCGACUCCACCACGAUUCGAUGGACCCUAGCCUUGUUGCCAGCCUCAAACCUUCCCUGAUUGCCAAAAUUUCAGCCAGCAGAGGAGUCUUCACCACAUGAAAAUCAACCAUGGCCGCCACAAUCUCCGCAUUUCCAUCACGAAGCAGAACAUCAACAUCUGAUCCCUCCGCCGACACAGCCGCAUCUGUGUUCAUCUUCAUCACACCCCCUAGGGAAGGAGGCCUCCAUGCAUUCACUCGAGGAAUUCUUCUCUUCAUUCCAUUCUGGGCCCAACACGUGAUUCCGGCUAACCUCAGUUCAGAAGCUGAUAAAUACCGCAUCCAGUACGUCCAUCUCUCCAGAAAGCAAUCAUUAAAAAGGCUCCCAAGCUCCGCCUGAGGAAGAACCACACACCAAAUCUGCUUUACCUACGGGCACCGAACCAGCGCAUGAUCAGUUGUCUCAACUUUUAAAGAACACCUCGGACAAACUGGUGUCACCUCCAUCCCUUUCUUCUGAAGAUUAUUAAGCACAGGGAUGAUGUUAUGGCACACUUUCCACAUAAACACUUGAAUUUUAGGUGGCAUCUGGAUUUUCCAAACCUUCCUCCACCAAACUUCAUUGUUACUGUUACUUGUUGAGUGCAUCAGUAGCUUAUGUCUCAUUUCUGUUU
Molecule: long non-coding RNA, 882 nt
Organism: Momordica charantia (bitter melon)
Lineage: Eukaryota; Viridiplantae; Streptophyta; Magnoliopsida; Cucurbitales; Cucurbitaceae
Source: RefSeq, a predicted model, not a curated record